AUACCUACCUGGCAGGGGAGAUACCAUGAUCCCGAAGGUGGUUUUCCCAGAGUGAGGCUUAUCCGUUGCACUCUGGAUGUGCUGACCCCUGCGAUUUCCCCAAAUGUGGGAAACUUGACUGCAUAAUUUGUGGUAGUGGGGGACUGCAUUCAUGCUCUCCCCUU
RNAcentral lists this small nuclear RNA (164 nucleotides) under Echinops telfairi (small Madagascar hedgehog). Its description in RNAcentral is "U1 spliceosomal RNA (ENSETEG00000022059.1)". It matches the Rfam family "U1 spliceosomal RNA". Rfam says of the family: U1 is a small nuclear RNA (snRNA) component of the spliceosome (involved in pre-mRNA splicing). Its 5' end forms complementary base pairs with the 5' splice junction, thus defining the 5' donor site of an intron. There are significant differences in sequence and secondary structure between metazoan and yeast U1 snRNAs, the latter being much longer (568 nucleotides as compared to 164 nucleotides in human). The record is from RNAcentral. Lineage: Eukaryota; Metazoa; Chordata; Mammalia; Afrosoricida; Tenrecidae.